This 435-nucleotide ribosomal RNA is filed under the name uncultured Oscillospiraceae bacterium. RNAcentral describes it as "bacterial SSU rRNA". It matches the Rfam family "Bacterial small subunit ribosomal RNA", at positions 341 to 792 of the family's 1533-position model. Lineage: Bacteria; Bacillati; Bacillota; Clostridia; Eubacteriales; Oscillospiraceae. The record is from RNAcentral.
ACGGAAGGCAGCAGUGGGGAAUAUUGGGCAAUGGGCGAAAGCCUGACCCAGCGACGCCGCGUGAAGGAAGAAGGUCUUCGGAUUGUAAACUUCUUUUAUAUGGGACGAAGAAUGACGGUACCAUAUGAAUAAGCCACGGCUAACUACGUGCCAGCAGCCGCGGUAAUACGUAGGUGGCGAGCGUUAUCCGGAUUUACUGGGUGUAAAGGGCGUGUAGGCGGAGCUGCAAGUCAGAUGUGAAAUCCCGGGGCUCAACCCCGGAACUGCAUUUGAAACUGUAGCCCUUGAGUAUCGGAGAGGCAAGCGGAAUUCCUAGUGUAGCGGUGAAAUGCGUAGAUAUUAGGAGGAACACCAGUGGCGAAGGCGGCUUGCUGGACGACAACUGACGCUGAGGCGCGAAAGCGUGGGGAGCAAACAGGAUUAGAUACCCUGGUA